GACUUUUCAAAGUCUUCCGGGCAUUUAAGUAUAGUCAGCUCUCUCUUUCUCCUUCACUCUUGUUAGAGCUGGUUAAGUUUCCUAUUCACUUCAUCAACAAUGAGUUCAAUGCUCUUUUCUUGCAUCCAAUUGUAGAGAAAGGAGGGUUCUUUUUUCCUUUGCCACUUGGUGAGAAUUCAGCUUCAAGCAGCCAAUUAUAGAGAACAAAGGGUUCUUUUCUCCAAGAUCACUUGCUGAGAACUCAACUUCAAGAAGGUCAAGAAAUGGCUGGUUACGAGAAAGAUGAUUUACCAAUGCUGUCAGA
This is a long non-coding RNA of Pistacia vera, 304 nucleotides long. RefSeq lists it as uncharacterized. The transcript is spliced from 3 exons. The record is from RefSeq and is a predicted model, not a curated record. NCBI's taxonomy places the organism in Eukaryota, Viridiplantae, Streptophyta, Magnoliopsida, Sapindales, Anacardiaceae.